Molecule: long non-coding RNA, 1653 nt
Organism: Pseudopipra pipra
Lineage: Eukaryota; Metazoa; Chordata; Aves; Passeriformes; Pipridae
Exons: 2
Source: RefSeq, a predicted model, not a curated record
GUCAGGUUGUGAGGCUUUAUAAAAGAAUAAAAUUUGAUUUUCCUACACUUUCUACACUGAAGUGUUUGAAAGAGAGGAGUUACUUAUUCAACACGAACCUGUCAAUUCUUCAUCAGGUUGGGCAAACCUUUGUCAGCAGCACGGGUUUUUGAAUGUCUGAGAUUGUCUUACAUGCACUGAUGUCUCACUGUCUUCCAGCUAUUCAGAGCCUGGAUACCUUUGUCGACAAAUGAUUAAAAAAAAUAAGGAACGGUUGAUCCCGGGAAAUUCCCACGGGAUUUUCAACAUCUUCGCUUGCGGUGAAAGCGGGGACACACACACGCACACACACACACACACACCGGCCAGUCCCAGCACCGAGUGGGGCCAGCUUCUGUGAGCUCCGUCCAACAGCUGGACACCCGCCGCAGGAAUUCUCCUUCACGGUUCCUUGUUGCAAGGUGCGUGGCCCCCGGCGACGAGCGCGGAGCCCCCCGCCCGUGCGAGCACAGACUUAAAAAUUUUCACAUAAAUCCGCUCCUCGUAUCCACCUAAGAAUUUAACUGAAAUCUCGAGCACUGACAGCAAACUGAAUCCUCGCUGGAAGGAAGGAAAGGAGCGGGGCGGAACAGAGGAGCGGCUGCGGAGCACCGAUCCAUGCUGCCAGGCUGGGAUGUCCCCGAAUUCCUUCGCAGGGGCUGUCCCCGCCGCGGGCGAGGAGCCGCCCGGGCCACCGGGGAGCGGGCGUUGAGAGCCCUUGGGACCCACGGACAGCCGCCGGACCCGCUCGGUGCCACUCCUUGAGGCUAAAAAAAGGAGGGGCAAAAGAAAAAAAAAGGGGGGGGGGGGAAGGCAGCAGCAAAAUUGGCGGUCUCUGUUUGUGUGUGUGCGAGCACAUCCACGUAUUCCUUUCCCCCGAGACAAAGUGCUGGUGCCGUGCAUCCCUCUGUCACCACAAGGAUAUCUAAUUACUGCUGACAGACAAGGAAAGAUGUUUUCGGGCGGACCGAGGGGGCUGGCGAGGGGGCGGCGGAGUGCCAGGCGCAUUCCCGGCCAGCCCUGCACCGAUCAGUCUGGGUGCACCGAUCGCCACGGUGACUUGGGCUGCUGCUGGUUUAAUAUUGAUCCCCUAUUACCGCCAGCGAGGAGCGGGUGUUUGCUGGCCUUGCGGGAAGCAGCGGGGUCGGGCCGGGUCCUGCAGUCCUGCCUCUGGCUCCUUUGGGGUGGAGGGAGGCCGGCCAGGAUUGGGCCCUUCGUGUGCUGCUCCCACGGGAAGAGGCCGGCCAGUGGCAGCAUCCCCGUUUCCCACCCAUGCCUGCCCCCCCGUCCCGUCCCCGGGACAGCUCCCGUGGGCGUCGGGCCUUGGGGAGGAGGGGGAACUUUAUGUCCUAAUUUGUUAUGAACGGGAGCUCUUGGGGGGCUGUGGUUUGGUUUGUUGUUGUUUUGGUUUGGGGUUUUUUGUAGUUGUUUUUUUUUUUUACUCGCGCUUCUGGUGAAAAAAGAGCCAUUUGUUUACAAAGCCCCUCUGCUCCAUCUGAGCCCACCCGACGGGGCUCCCUAAAGGAGUGGGAGGGGGAUCCCUCCGUGCCAGGCCCCCUCGCCGGUUCAUUUCUCUAUUUGCAUCCACAGUUAGCUGAAGAUCAUUUUAAUAAAUAACAAUGAAAGGGGAGCGCA